UUGGAAUGUGGCAGCAACAGUGCUGGCGUCGUCAGGAGGUGACGGCUGUGUGAGACUGGAGAGCUAAUUAUAUGGACAAUUGGAAGUGCACUGGUAUUCUGAAAGGUAAUGGUAGCCCAGUCAAUGGGAGUUCUCAGCAGGGAAACUCAAAUCUGUCCCUAGGUUCAAAUAUUCCAAAUCUUCAAAAUUCAUUAAAUGGAUCUUCUUCUGGCAGGUAGGCUGUUUUGUGGGAAAACUAGAAAUUGUCUUCUUUUUAAAUCAUUCUGGUAGCAAUACUGAUGGCGGUUUAUUUCGUGAAUUAUAAGAUAGAAUGAAGAAAUUCACAUGUAAUUAUGACACUAGAAUUUAAAAAUUCACUUCAUUAGCUCUGUAUUUGGCUUACUUGGUCCUAAUAUUUACAGGUAGGUUGUGAGGUCAUUAAGCUAAAUUAUAUUCUGAGGUUUAGUGGUCUAUUAGUAGAAAUGUUUAUAGCUUUGUUUAAGAUUUUACUUUGCUUCUGCAGUGAUGAGAGGAAGAAGAAAUAUGGCUUAAUUGUGAGGGUUUUAGUCCUAGGUGAGCAUUAGGUUUUUUUUAGUGCUUAUAGUGUGGCCUUUGCAUCAGGUCAAACUGAAAUUUUAAAUAAAAUACAUUAAUUAAGGUUUUGUAGAAGAGAGUGAGUUAAAUGAUUUGGCUUUUCUGUUUAAAACUUUAAUGGAGAUUAUAAGAGGAGAUGACAUCUCUUGAUUUUCAGAAUAUUUAGCGUAAGUUAGAUUCUUGUUUAUCAUAAUAAAGAAUAUUUGGUAUGAUUGAAAGAGUCAUCCUUUUGUUUUCAUACCCAAAUUUCAAAUAUGUGGAUUUGUAAGAAAAAAUUAUUUUAAUAUGCUUUUGUGAAUAAUUUGGAAAAUAAUUCAGGAAGCUUCAAAACACAGCCUUAAACUGUUCUGUGGUUGUCCUGUUGUCAUCCUAAAUAAAAGAAAAUUGUAUUUAAAAUUUC
Galeopterus variegatus (Sunda flying lemur) is the source of this 973-nucleotide long non-coding RNA. RefSeq lists it as uncharacterized. The record is from RefSeq and is a predicted model, not a curated record. The transcript is spliced from 2 exons. NCBI's taxonomy places the organism in Eukaryota, Metazoa, Chordata, Mammalia, Dermoptera, Cynocephalidae.